Molecule: ribosomal RNA, 492 nt
Filed under: uncultured bacterium
Lineage: Bacteria
Description: partial 16S ribosomal RNA
Rfam family: Bacterial small subunit ribosomal RNA
Source: RNAcentral
AGUGAACGCUGGCGGUAGGCCUAACACAUGCAAGUCGAACGGCAGCACAGUAAGAGCUUGCUCUUACGGGUGGCGAGUGGCGGACGGGUGAGGAAUACAUCGGAAUCUACUUUUUCGUGGGGGUUAACGUAGGGAAACUUACGCUAAUACCGCAUACGACCUACGGGUGAAAGCAGGGGAGCUUCGGACCUUGCGCGAUUGAAUGAGCCGAUGUCGGAUUAGCUAGUUGGCGGGGUAAAGGCCCACCAAGGCGACGAUCCGUAGCUGGUCUGAGAGGAUGAUCAGCCACACUGGAACUGAGCCACGGUCCAGACUCCUACGGGAGGCAGCAGUGGGGAAUAUUGGACAAUGGGCGCAAGCCUGAUCCAGCCAUACCGCGUGGGUGAAGAAGGCCUUCGGAUUGUAAAGCCCUUUUGUUGGGAAAGAAAAGCAGCAGGUUAAUACCCCGCUGUUCUGACGGUACCCAAAGAAUAAGCACCGGCUAACUUCGUG